RNAcentral lists this ribosomal RNA (468 nucleotides) under uncultured bacterium. Its description in RNAcentral is "partial 16S ribosomal RNA". It matches the Rfam family "Bacterial small subunit ribosomal RNA", at positions 28 to 507 of the family's 1533-position model. The record is from RNAcentral.
GACGAACGCUGGCGGCGUGCUUAACACAUGCAAGUCGAACGGAAAGGCCCUGCUUUUGUGGGGUGCUCGAGUGGCGAACGGGUGAGUAACACGUGAGUAACCUGCCCUUGACUUUGGGAUAACUUCAGGAAACUGGGGCUAAUACCGGAUAGGAGCUCCUGCUGCAUGGUGGGGGUUGGAAAGUUUCGGCGGUUGGGGAUGGACUCGCGGCUUAUCAGCUUGUUUGUGGGGUAGUGGCUUACCAAGGCUUUGACGGGUAGCCGGCCUGAGAGGGUGACCGGCCACAUUGGGGCUGGGAUACCGCCCAGACUCCUACGGGGGGGAACAGGGGGGAAUAUUGCACAAUGGGGGGAAGCCUGAUGCAGCAACGCCGCGUGCGGGAUGACGGCCUUCGGGUUGUAAACCGCUUUCGCCUGUGACGAAGCGGGAGUGACGGUAAUGGGGAAAGAAGCACCGGCUAACUACGUG